GACGAACGCUGGCGGCGUGCUUAACACAUGCAAGUCGAACGGAAAGGCCCUGCUUUUGUGGGUUGCUCGAUUGGCGAACGGGGGAGUAACACGUGAGUAACCUGCCCUUGACUUUGGGAUAACUUCAGGAAACUGGGGCUAAUACCGGAUAGGAGCUCCUGCUGCAUGGUGGGGGUUGGAAAGUUUCGGCGUUUGGGGAUGGACUCGCGGCUUAUCAGCUUGUUGGUUGGGUAGUGGCGUACCAAGGCUUUGACGGGUAGCCGGCAUGAGAGGGUGACCGGCGACAUUGGGACUGAGGUACGGCCCAGAAUCGUACGGGAGGCAGCAGUGGGGAAUAUUGCACAAUGGGCGGAAGCCUGAUGCAGCAACGCCGCGUGCGGGAUGCCGGCCUACGGGUUGUAAACAGAUUUCGACUGUGACGAAGAGAGCGUGACGGUAAUGGGUCAAGAAGCACCGGCUAACUACGUG
Molecule: ribosomal RNA, 468 nt
Filed under: uncultured bacterium
Lineage: Bacteria
Description: partial 16S ribosomal RNA
Rfam family: Bacterial small subunit ribosomal RNA
Source: RNAcentral